AUGGAAGGAAGCCAAAGGACCCAUCUGGAUCCAUCCUUUCUGAGUUAUGGCUCCUGUUUACAACUGCUGUGUAAAAAGAAGUCUAGAAUUCAGUCUUUAAACUUCAGUCUGGAGCUACCAACAUCCACAGCAAUCUGGUCGUGCCUUGUCUUAUGUGGCAUUGCACUGAUGACUGCUGCCACUGAAGGGAAGGAGAUUUCAUACAGGCAUUGUUGAAGAAAGUUACAUCCUUCCCACCCAUGCCAACUUCCAUUGUAAGUGGUCUAUGUUAUAUGUGGCAGAAAUCUGUUAGGGUGAUGAUAUUUAGCAGACUUCUUUUAAGAGUCUUGAUGUGAAGGUGCUUAACCCAGGUAAGGAUUUGAGGGUACCUUCAUAGCUCUCACACAGAAAAUUGCAUCAUUCUGUUUGAGA
RNAcentral lists this long non-coding RNA (411 nucleotides) under Anser cygnoides (Swan goose). RNAcentral describes it as "lncRNA (ENSACDG00005019122.1)". Lineage: Eukaryota; Metazoa; Chordata; Aves; Anseriformes; Anatidae. The record is from RNAcentral.